RNAcentral lists this ribosomal RNA (440 nucleotides) under uncultured bacterium. RNAcentral describes it as "partial 16S ribosomal RNA". It matches the Rfam family "Bacterial small subunit ribosomal RNA", at positions 338 to 795 of the family's 1533-position model. The record is from RNAcentral.
CCUACGGGAGGCAGCAGUGGGGAAUAUUGCACAAUGGGGGAAACCCUGAUGCAGCGACGCCGCGUGAGUGAAGAAGUACUUCGUUAUGUAAAGCUCUAUCAGCAGGGAAGAAAAUGACGGUACCUGAGUAAGAAGCCCUGGCUAACUACGUGCUAGCAGCCGCGGUAAUACGUAGGGGGCAAGCGUUCUCCGGAUUUACUGGGUGUAAAGGGAGCGUAGACGGUAGUGCAAGUCUGGAGUGAAAGGCGGGGGCUCAACCCCCGGACUGCUCUGGAAACUGUACGGCUGGAGUGCAGGAGAGGUAAGUGGAAUUCCUAGUGUAGCGGUGGAAUGCGUAGAUAUUAGGAAGAACACCAGUGGCGAAGGCAGCUUACUGGACUGUAACUGACGUUGAGGCUCGAAAGCGUGGGGAGCAAACAGGAUUAGAUACCCCUGUAGUC